Molecule: long non-coding RNA, 2224 nt
Filed under: Prunus persica (peach)
Lineage: Eukaryota; Viridiplantae; Streptophyta; Magnoliopsida; Rosales; Rosaceae
Description: long non-coding RNA (PPER_LNC005058)
Source: RNAcentral
UUAAACGUGAAAGUGCGAAAAUCUUUAGAAAUCAAAAAGUAAAAAAUCAAAAAGGGACAGUAGAUACUCGAGUAAUGGCCUAAUAAUAACGGAUAGGGCUCUUGGGCUAUGGAGAAAUUUAAUUAGGACACCCAAAGGAUUUCAUAAAAGACUUAACAAGUAUAAAUUAAUUAUUUGGUGGACUUUUUCUUUAAUUUUUUUUAUAUUAAAUAGUAAUUGAAAAAGGCUAAGAUAUUGCUCAAUUGCAUAUGUUUAAUUAAAGAAGAAGGCCAAAAAACAAAACUAAAGAAACUAAUUCUUUUAUAUUCAAAAGUGAAAAAAAAAAAAAAAAACUGUACCAGAUUAAAUCUUCCUUUUGAAUAGUAUAGCCGCGCGGCUAUACUAUUUAUAUAUUAAAAAAGGACAAGCACAAAGCACAGGUGCCACGUGUUUUUAAAAAAAAUUGGGGAAAGGGAGUAUAGCCGCGCGGCUAUACUAUUUAUAUAUUAAAAAAGGACGCGCACAAUGCACAGGUGCCACGUGUUUAAAAAAAAAUGGGGGAGAGUGAGUAUCGCCGCGCGGCUAUACUAUGUUUAAAUAGAAAAUUAAGGAAGAAUCUAGUAUAGCCGAUCGGCUGUACUAUUUAUAGACCCGCCCAUAGCCUAUGAGCCACGUGUCAAACAGGUACAGCCGGGCAGCUGUAGUAUUUAUAUUUCAAAAUUUUUAAAAACGAGUAUAGCCGCACGGCUAUACUAUUUUUUUAAAAAACAAUUAGGUGCUUUUUCAAAUACAUAUUAUUUUUAUUCAAUAAUAUGUUAGAAUUAUGUGUAUAACACGUGAAUUUUGUGUCUUAUUGAAAUUUUUGUAAAAAACAAGUGUAUUAAACAUGAGAAAUACGUGCGUACGUGUAUAAUACAUCAUUAAACGUGAAAGUGCGAAAAUCUUUAGAAAUCAAAAAGUAAAAAAUCAAAAAGGGACAGUAGAUACUCGAGUAAUGGCCUAAUAAUAACGGAUAGGGCUCUUGGGCUAUGGAGAAAUUUAAUUAGGACACCCAAAGGAUUUCAUAAAAGACUUAACAAGUAUAAAUUAAUUAUUUGGUGGACUUGUUCUUUAAUUUUUUUAUAUUAAAUAGUAAUUGAAAAAGGCUAAUAUAUUGCUCAAUUGCAUAUGUUUAAUUAAAGAAGAAGGCCAAAAAACAAAACUAAAGAAACUAAUUCUUUUAUAUUCAAAAGUGAAAAAAAAAAAAAAAAAAAAACUGUACCAGAUUAAAUCUUCCUUUUGAAUAGUAUAGCCGAGCGGCUAUACUAUUUAUAUAUUAAAAAAGGACAAGCACAAAGCACAGGUGCCACGUGUUUUUAAAAAAAAUUGGGGAAAGGGAGUAUAGCCGCGCGGCUAUACUAUUUAUAUAUUAAAAAAGGACGCGCACAAUGCACAGGUGCCACGUGUUUAAAAAAAAAUGGGGGGAGAGUGAGUAUAGCCGCGCGGCUAUACUAUGUUUAAAUAGAAAAUUAAGGAAGAAUCUAGUAUAGCCGAGCGGCUGUACUAUUUAUAGACCCGCCCAUAGCCUAUGAGCCACGUGUCAAACAGGUACAGCCGGGCAGCUGUACUAUUUAUAUUUCAAAAUUUUUAAAAACGAGUAUAGCCGCACGGCUAUACCAUUUUUUUAAAAAACAAUUAGGUGCUUUUUCAAAUACAUAUUAUUUUUAUUCAAUAAUAUGUUAGAAUUAUGUGUAUAACACGUGAAUUUUGUGUCUUAUUGAAAUUUUUGUAAAAAACAAGUGUAUUAAACAUGAGAAAUACGUGCGUACUUGUAUAAUACAUCAUUAAACGUGAAAGUGCGAAAAUCUUUAGAAAUCAAAAAGUAAAAAAUCAAAAAGGGACAGUAGAUACUCGAGUAAUGGCCUAAUAAUAACGGAUAGGGCUCUUGGGCUAUGGAGAAAUUUAAUUAGGACACCCAAAGGAUUUCAUAAAAGACUUAACAAGUACAAAUCAAUUAUUUGGUGGACUUUUUCUUUAAUUUUUUAUAUUAAAUAGUAAUUGAAAAAGGCUAAGAUAUUGCUCAAUUGCAUAUGUUUAAUUAAAGAAGAAGGCCAAAAAACAAAACUAAAGAAACUAAUUCUUUUAUAUUCAAAAGUGAAAAAAAAAAAAAAAAAAAAAACUGUACCAGAUUAAAUCUUCCUUUUGAAUAGUAUAGCCGCGCGGCUAUACUAUUUAUAUAUUAAAAAAGGACAAGCACAAAGCACAG